RNAcentral lists this ribosomal RNA (316 nucleotides) under uncultured bacterium. RNAcentral's name for it is "bacterial SSU rRNA". It matches the Rfam family "Bacterial small subunit ribosomal RNA", at positions 28 to 334 of the family's 1533-position model. The record is from RNAcentral.
GAUGAACGCUAGCGACAGGCUUAACACAUGCAAGUCGAGGGGCAACAUGAUUUUAGCUUGCUAAAAUUGAUGGCGACCGGCGCACGGGUGAGUAACGCGUAUGUAACUUGCCUACCAGAGGGGGAUAGCCCGGCGAAAGUCGGAUUAAUACCGCAUAAAACAGGGGUUCCGCAUGGAAAUAUUUGUUAAAGGAUUACCGCUGGUAGAUAGGCAUGCGUUCCAUUAGAUAGUUGGUGAGGUAACGGCUCACCAAGUCGACGAUGGAUAGGGGUUCUGAGAGGAAGGUCCCCCACAUUGGUACUGAGACACGGACCAA